ACUAGCCCUAGCCCCUCAAAACACAAUUCAACUAUUUCACCCCAUAAACUAAAACAUUCAAAUUUAAUGAAGUAUUGGAGAAAGAAACCUUCCACAGGGAGCCAUAGAGAUAGUACCGCAAGGGAAAGAUGAAAGAAAUGCUAAAAGUACUACAAAGCAAAGAUUAAACCUUGUACCUUUUGCAUAAUGAACUAACUAGAAAACCUCUAACUAAGAGAACUUUAGCUAGAAACCCCGAAACCAAGCGAGCUACCCAAGAGCAAUUUUAUGAAUGAACCCGUCUAUGUAGCAAAAUAGUGGGAAGACUUCUGGGUAGAGGUGAAAAGCCUAACGAGCUUGGUGAUAGCUGGUUACCCAAUAAAGAAUCUCAGUUCAACUUUAAGCUUACCUCACGAAACUAAUAAAUCAUAAUGUAAACUUAAAAUAUAGCCUAAAGAGGGACAGCUCUUUAGGAAUGGAGACAACCUUAAAUAGUGAAUAAGACAUAAUCAACAACCAACCAUAGUUGGCCUAAAAGCAGCCACCAAUAAAGAAAGCGUUCAAGCUCAACAUUAAACACACCCUAAUACCACAAACCUUAUCCACUUCCUAUAAUUAUAAUUGGGUUAAUCUAUUGAUAUAUAGAUGCAACACUGUUAGUAUGAGUAACAAGAAUACACUUCUCCCCGCACAAGCCUACAACAACCCGGAUAACCAUUGUUAAUUAACAUCAAUAAGUCUAUUAACCACCUAUAAAAAUCACUUUAUACAUAAUGUUAAUCCAACACAGGAGUGCAACAAGGAAAGAUUAAAAGGAGUAAAAGGAACUAGGCAAACACGAACCCCGCCUGUUUACCAAAAACAUCACCUCUAGCAUAAUAAGUAUUAGAGGCAAUGCCUGCCCAGUGACUCAAGUUAAACGGCCGCGGUAUCCUGACCGUGCAAAGGUAGCAUAAUCACUUGUUCCUUAAUUAGGGACUAGAAUGAACGGCUAAACGAGGGUCCAACUGUCUCUUACUCCCAAUCAGUGAAAUUGACCUCCCCGUGAAGAGGCGGGGAUACAAAAAUAAGACGAGAAGACCCUAUGGAGCUUCAAUCCAACUGACUUAAUCUUAUACCUACUACACCUAUUGGCUAUAAAAACAAGACAUUAAGUCUAGGAUUUCGGUUGGGGUGACCUCGGAGAAUAAAAAAACCUCCGAACGAUUUUAACUUAGACCUACAAGUCAAAGUACCCAAAAAUCCAAUUGACCCAAAACACUUUGAUCAACGGACCAAGUUACCCUAGGGAUAACAGCGCAAUCCUAUUCAAGAGUCCCUAUCGACAAUUAGGGUUUACGACCUCGAUGUUGGAUCAGGACAUCCCAAUGGUGCAGAAACUAUUAAAGGUUCGUUUGUUCAACGAUUAAAGUCCUACGUGAUCUGAGUUCAGACCGGAGCAAUCCAGGUCGGUUUCUAUCUAUUCACGAUUUCUCCUAGUACGAAAGGACCAGAGAAAUGGGGCCCACUUAACAUAAGCGCCCCUAACUAAUUAAUGAAUACAUCUCAAUAUAGUACGUCCGUUAAACUCAACCCUAGAUCAGGGUU
RNAcentral lists this ribosomal RNA (1566 nucleotides) under Urocricetus kamensis (Tibetan dwarf hamster). Its description in RNAcentral is "16S ribosomal RNA". It matches the Rfam family "Bacterial large subunit ribosomal RNA", at positions 361 to 2852 of the family's 2925-position model. The record is from RNAcentral. Lineage: Eukaryota; Metazoa; Chordata; Mammalia; Rodentia; Cricetidae.